UAUGUAGCCCCUUAAAAAAAGUUACUUGAGCCGAUAUGAGAAAGGUUUUGAUAGUGAGGACACAUUUUUUCCUUACAAACUUCAGGAGCCUCGAUCACCGCAUCCUUCGCCACCAUUUUACUAGAGCAAUUUCAAGGUCAUAUGGGCAUCACAAGGGGCAAGAAUAUGUUCUAAGCGCCACAAAACAAAUUUUCUAGAUAUUGGAAA
This 207-nucleotide long non-coding RNA is filed under the name Elaeis guineensis (African oil palm). RNAcentral describes it as "long non-coding RNA (EGUI_LNC007724)". Lineage: Eukaryota; Viridiplantae; Streptophyta; Magnoliopsida; Arecales; Arecaceae. The record is from RNAcentral.